RNAcentral lists this ribosomal RNA (675 nucleotides) under uncultured bacterium. Its description in RNAcentral is "bacterial SSU rRNA". It matches the Rfam family "Bacterial small subunit ribosomal RNA", at positions 148 to 809 of the family's 1533-position model. The record is from RNAcentral.
ACUUGGAAACAGGUGCUAAUACCGGAUAACAACAAUAGCUGCAUGGCUAUUGCUUAAAAGGCGGCGAAAGCUGUCGCUAAAGGAUGGACCCGCGGUGCAUUAGCUAGUUGGUAAGGUAAUGGCUUACCAAGGCGACGAUGCAUAGCCGAGUUGAGAGACUGAUCGGCCACAUUGGGACUGAGACACGGCCCAAACUCCUACGGGAGGCAGCAGUAGGGAAUCUUCCACAAUGGGCGAAAGCCUGAUGGAGCAACGCCGCGUGAGUGAAGAAGGUUUUCGGAUCGUAAAGCUCUGUUGUUGGUGAAGAAGGAUAGAGGUAGUAACUGGCCCCUAUUUGACGGUAAUCAACCAGAAAGUCACGGCUAACUACGUGCCAGCAGCCGCGGUAAUACGUAGGUGGCAAGCGUUGUCCGGAUUUAUUGGGCGUAAAGCGAGCGCAGGCGGAAAGAUAAGUCUGAUGUGAAAGCCCCCGGCUUAACCGAGGAAUUGCAUCGGAAACUGUGUUUCUUGAGUGCAGAAGAGGAGAGUGGAACUCCAUGUGUAGCGGUGGAGUGCGUAGAUAUAUGGAAGAACACCAGUGGCGAAGGCGGCUCUCUGGUCUGUAACUGACGCUGAGGCUCGAAAGCAUGGGUAGCGAACAGGAUUAGAUACCCUGGUAGUCCAUGCCGUAAAACG